GUUUCAGAUGAACCCUUGUUGGGUUGAAGUACGCGAUAGUUUCGUGAUGAGGCAGUAUUGAGAAUGUUUCAGAUGAACCCUUGUUGGGUUGAAGUAAGGGGUAACAAUCGACCCAACAGGAGAGCAUUUGAGUUUCAGAUGAACCCUUGUUGGGUUGAAGUAUGCAGGAAAAUCAGCCUCCGCGAGAGAGUUAUGCUCGUUUCAGAUGAACCCUUGUUGGGUUGAAGUGUCCGUGCCGGUGGCAGGAUUGUCGUCGCCAGGUGAGUUUCAGAUGAACCCUUGUUGGGUUGAAGUCCCUUCAUAGAUAACUGUAAGAUUUGAGUUGGUUUGGUUUCAGAUGAACCCUUGUUGGGUUGAAGUUGCCCGAUAACGCCAGCGACGAUUGCGAGCAUAAACGCGUUUCAGAUGAACCCUUGUUGGGUUGAAGUCGUUGAGAUGUCGGUCGCCUGUUUUUGUGCGCUGGUUUCAGAUGAACCCUUGUUGGGUUGAAGUAGUCAUCGGAAGAUGCCUCCCUGCUCGCCAGUCGGCGUUUCAGAUGAACCCUUGUUGGGUUGAAGUCGCGCUCGAGACGAUGUUGACGCAAUCAGCAACGAGUUUCAGAUGAACCCUUGUUGGGUUGAAGUUGAAAGUCGUUGUGUGACCACAAUAUAACUAAUCUGGUUUCAGAUGAACCCUUGUUGGGUUGAAGUCGUGUUCAGUACGUCUGAAUUAAUCGGACUAUCAAGUUUCAGAUGAACCCUUGUUGGGUUGAAGUAAGCCAUACGACCGGCGUCGAAAACGGUCCCGACGUGUUUCAGAUGAACCCUUGUUGGGUUGAAGUCGAUAUUAACGUUUGAAUCAAACGAAUAAUCAAUAGUUUCAGAUGAACCCUUGUUGGGUUGAAGUAUAACCACUUAGUUCAUCACGAACAUACUCGCCGAGUUUCAGAUGAACCCUUGUUGGGUUGAAGUCGGGGUUGUCAUUAUCAAAAGCGUCUAUCAUAUCGCGUUUCAGAUGAACCCUUGUUGGGUUGAAGUUAACAGCUUCAGCAGCGGUCCCAGCCACGGACAGGGUUUCAGAUGAACCCUUGUUGGGUUGAAGUUUUAGGUGGUUGAUUGUCGGAUAGAUCAUCAAAGAUGGUUUCAGAUGAACCCUUGUUGGGUUGAAGUACUGAGGCAUUUACUGCAAAGGGUUUCUCGAUCGAGUUUCAGAUGAACCCUUGUUGGGUUGAAGUUGUUGAUGUUGGCCCAACAACUAACGGCAAGAGAGUUUCAGAUGAACCCUUGUUGGGUUGAAGUAUCACACGUAUGCUGACGCAACCGAAAACGCAAAACUUUCAGAUGAACCCUUGUCGGGUUGAACUGUCGGUCGAUCAUCGGCUGCGAGUCGAUGGCCCUAUUUCAGAUAGAGCUUUGUCGGGCUAAAGC
RNAcentral lists this unclassified non-coding RNA (1406 nucleotides) under Haloquadratum walsbyi C23. The record is from RNAcentral. Lineage: Archaea; Methanobacteriati; Methanobacteriota; Halobacteria; Halobacteriales; Haloferacaceae.